RNAcentral lists this ribosomal RNA (497 nucleotides) under uncultured bacterium. RNAcentral describes it as "partial 16S ribosomal RNA". It matches the Rfam family "Bacterial small subunit ribosomal RNA", at positions 28 to 507 of the family's 1533-position model. The record is from RNAcentral.
GAUGAACGCUGGCGGCGUGCCUAAUACAUGCAAGUCGAGCGAACGGACGAGACGCUUGCUUUUCUGAUGUUAGCGGCGGACGGGUGAGUAACACGUGGAUAACCCACCUAUAAGACUGGGAUAACUUCGGGAAACCGGAGCUAAUACCGGAUAAUAUUUUGAACCGCAUGGUUCAAAAGUGAUAGACGGUCUUGCUGUCACUUAUAGCUGGAUCCUCGCUGCAUUAGCUAGUUGGUAAGGUAACGGCUUACCAAGGCAACGAUGCAUAGCCGACCUGAGAGGGUGAUCGGCCACAGUGGAACUGAGACACGGUCCAGACUCCUACGGGAGGCAGCAGUAGGGAAGCGUGCGCAAUGGGCGAAAGCCUGACGGAGCAACGCCGCGUGGGUGAUGAAGGUCUUCGGAUCGUAAAACUCUGUUAUUAGGGAAGAACAUAUGUGUAAGUAACUGAGCACAUCGUGACGGUACCUAAUCAGAAAGCCACGGCUAACUACGUG